AUUGAACGCUGGCGGCAUGCCCUACACAUGCAAGUCGAACGGUAACAGGUCUUCGGAUGCUGACGAGUGGCGAACGGGUGAGUAAUACAUCGGAACGUGCCUAGUAGUGGGGGAUAACUACUCGAAAGAGUGGCUAAUACCGCAUGAGAUCUACGGAUGAAAGCAGGGGAUCGCAAGACCUUGUGCUACUAGAGCGGCCGAUGGCAUAUUAGGUAGUUGGUGGGAUAAAAGCUUACCAAGCCGACGAUCUGUAGCUGGUCUGAGAGGACGAUCAGCCACACUGGGACUGAGAAACGGCCCAGACUCCUACGGGAGGCAGCAGUGGGGAAUUUUGGACAAUGGGCGCAAGCCUGAUCCAGCAAUGCCGCGUGCAGGAUGAAGGCCUUCGGGUUGUAAACUGCUUUUGUACGGAACGAAAAGCCCCGGGUUAAUACCCUGGGGUCAUGACGGUACCGUAAGAAUAAGCACCGGCUAACUACGUGCCAGCAGCCGCCGUAA
Molecule: ribosomal RNA, 498 nt
Filed under: uncultured bacterium
Lineage: Bacteria
Description: partial 16S ribosomal RNA
Rfam family: Bacterial small subunit ribosomal RNA
Source: RNAcentral